UACGGAGGGGGCAAGCGUUGUUCGGAAUUACGGGGCGUAAAGGGCGCGUAGGCGGCCGGCCGCGUCAGAUGUGAAAGCCCCGGGCUCAACCUGGGAGGUGCAUUUGAUACGGGUCGGCUCGAGGCCGAGAGAGGUGAAUGGAAUUCCCAGUGUAGAGGUUAAAUUCGUAGAUAUUGGGAAGAACACCAGUGGCGAAGGCGGCUCACUGGCUCGGUACUGACGCUGAGGCGCGAAAGCGUGGGGAGCAAACAGG
RNAcentral lists this unclassified non-coding RNA (253 nucleotides) under uncultured Alphaproteobacteria bacterium. RNAcentral's name for it is "contains 16S-23S intergenic spacer region". It matches the Rfam family "Bacterial small subunit ribosomal RNA", at positions 524 to 776 of the family's 1533-position model. Lineage: Bacteria; Pseudomonadati; Pseudomonadota; Alphaproteobacteria. The record is from RNAcentral.